Molecule: ribosomal RNA, 366 nt
Filed under: Triticum aestivum (bread wheat)
Lineage: Eukaryota; Viridiplantae; Streptophyta; Magnoliopsida; Poales; Poaceae
Description: partial small subunit ribosomal RNA
Source: RNAcentral
GGACUUGGAGGGCCGCUGACGGUCGUGCUCAAGGAGGCCACGGGUCGACGGACGUCGCCGUCCUUCAAGGUGCAGGUCCUCGACGCCGGCAGGGAGGGGUGGAAGGAGACGGAUGACAUCGGCGACACCGCGCUGUUCGUUGCGGUGAACGGUUCGCUGUGCGUGUCGACGAGGGAGCACCCGCAGCUCAAGUCCGGCUGCAUCUACUACUACACCAAGGAUGAGGAUGAUCUGGGGCCGUGCAAGGAUGCACGCAAUGGCGUCAGGCUGUUCAGCCUCAAGGACCGCAGAACAGAGAAGAUCGAUGGCCUCGGAUGGCACCGGAGCUGGCCGCCCCCGGCAUGGUUCAUUCCUUCCAUCCCAUGA